Pygocentrus nattereri (red-bellied piranha) is the source of this 459-nucleotide long non-coding RNA. Lineage: Eukaryota; Metazoa; Chordata; Actinopteri; Characiformes; Serrasalmidae. The record is from Ensembl.
AUGUUGGCCCAGUUAUCCAAACUGAUAGUGGAUAUCUCCAUCAGGCCUCCUCAUUGUGAUGUGAUAUUGGAAAUGAUUUUGUGCUGCUGUUUUAUGCGUGCUGUGUUGCAGAGUGAGAAUGCCGAGGUGAAGGAGAGGGAGCUGUCCCUGGAGCUUUCUCGGAUCAGGGAUGAAGUGGUGGUCAGUGUGGGCCGGUGGGAGCGUCUGCAGGGGGAGAAGGCUGAACUGGAGCGCAGUUUUGAGCAGGAGCUGAGGAAGCUGAAGGAGGAGCAGCAGAAGGAGCAGCAGGCUCUGCAGGAGCGACUGAGAGAGGAGCAGAGGAAGGAGACAGAGCUUCUGCAGAAACAGCAGAGCAGCCAGCUACAGCAGCUCCGCUCCCAGCACCAUCAUCAGGUAUGAGACACACACACCUGCUCAUUUGUUUUUAUAGCAUGUUAGGAGAUGAGGUCAUAAAUGUUG